This 497-nucleotide ribosomal RNA is filed under the name uncultured bacterium. RNAcentral describes it as "partial 16S ribosomal RNA". It matches the Rfam family "Bacterial small subunit ribosomal RNA", at positions 28 to 507 of the family's 1533-position model. The record is from RNAcentral.
GAUGAACGCUGGCGGCGUGCCUAAUACAUGCAAGUCGAGCGAACAGAUGAGGAGCUUGCUCCUCUGACGUUAGCGGCGGACGGGUGAGUAACACGUGGAUAACCUACCUAUAAGACUGGGAUAACUUAGGGAAACCGGAGCUAAUACCGGAUAAUAUAUUGAACCGCAUGGUUCAAUAGUGAAAGACGGUUUUGCUGUCACUUAUAGAUGGAUCCGCGCCGCAUUAGCUAGUUGGUAAGGUAACGGCUUACCAAGGCAACGAUGCGUAGCCGACCUGAGAGGGUGAUCGGCCACACUGGAACUGAGACACGGUCCAGACUCCUACGGGAGGCAGCAGUAGGGAAUCUUCCGCAAUGGGCGAAAGCCUGACGGAGCAACGCCGCGUGAGUGAUGAAGGUCUUCGGAUCGUAAAACUCUGCUAUUAGGGAAGAACAAAUGUGUAAGUAACUAUGCACGUCUUGACGGUACCUAAUCAGAAAGCCACGGCUAACUACGUG